CUGGGGCUGUGACACAACGGCAGGUCCGUCCACCCCCUGCGCCAUCCGCCAUCUCCUGCACCACCUCCUCCCUCACCCGGCGGCGCCGGCGCCCCAAUCCCUUGACACCACCUCCUCCCCAACCCGGCAGCGCCUCCAUCCUUCUGUCGGGACCUCCUUCCAUGGUGGCGCCCCGACCUAACUAAUCUUCCUUGUCUUCAGUCUAGAUAUGCCAGCGACCUCCUUCCAUGAUGGAGCAGUUGGAGAGGAGUGGCGGAUGCGCGGGGCAUCGCCGGCCAGAGAGGACGGGGAGGAGAUAUGCCAGCGAGGGAGGCUGCUCGGCUUGGACCGGCCAUGGCGUCGGCGCUGCUAACUCCCACGGGCCUCUCAUUCUCCAUCUCCUCUGGAAGUGAUGAAACAAGCAAGGAGGAAGGGCGUAGUGUUGGAUAUUUGACCAGGUUAGAAUUGUCUCCUGUUAAGUACUCCCUCCGUCUGAAAAUAUUUGUCAUUAAAAUGGACAAAAAAGGAUGUAUCUAGAACUAAAAUACAUCUAGAUACAUCUCCUUUUAUUCAUUUUGAUGACAAGUAUUUCCGAACGGAGGGAGUAUAUGGUUGUGUGAUUUUAUUUUUACCUCGCUGUCACUAAAUUUGAUUUAAUUUUCAUCUCCGACGAGUCUACCGGUUGCGUUCUUAUUUUGUUGCAGGUGACAUGCAUAUAUGGAUGCCUCUGUUCUGAAUAGACAAUAUUUACUUGAACCUAUAUGGUCUGAAUAAAGUUUACGCUGUCAAUAUUUUCCCGUGACCUACCAAGGAGAAAAGAACUUUUAGUUAAUACCAGUCGAAUUUUGGCUGCCGGGUCAACCAAUCUCCUCGGUUCCGCUUGCCGGUUUACCUGAAACCUCGCAUGCUGUCUCCUGUAAUCUCCUCGCUUGCGUUUGGCGAAGGGGUGCUGCUGCUGCUGCUGCAGAGAUCAUUUCAUCAAAAACGCUAAAGUAGUGGCUGAUCCAAGUUUUCAGAUAAGCAUGCAUGUGUGCUUUGUUUGUAUAUAGAAGCUCGCUAAAUUGGCCCUCGCAACCUUUGCCGUGCCUACUAAAACCACCAGCCGCAAGGACAAGUGAAGACUGCUACACUGUUGCUGUUUUGAACAAACCCGGGCUUUAGCACUAAUAAAGGUCAUCUACAGAGCAACCGGCUUGAUUCGUAGGUGGUCGUUACCCAGCCGUGCAGAAGUCAAGGAGCAUAUGGCUUAUGGGUGCAACCGUUUGGAGACGAUGGCACGGGAUACCUAAAACCGGUUUGGAUGGCGGUCCAACAAUAGGAUAGGCGUAUAGUCAUCUAGUCAUAUUUAUGCCAGCUACGUUUAUUUUUUCAACCUAUUUUGAGUGUAUUGAACUACAUACUUUGGUUAAUAAUAUGAUUGCAUGCA
Molecule: long non-coding RNA, 1405 nt
Organism: Triticum aestivum (bread wheat)
Lineage: Eukaryota; Viridiplantae; Streptophyta; Magnoliopsida; Poales; Poaceae
Exons: 6
Source: RefSeq, a predicted model, not a curated record